CUACGGGUGGCUCCAGUGGGGAAUAUUGCACAAUGGGCGCAAGCCUGAUGCAGCCAUGCCGCGUGUAUGAAGUAGGCCUUCGGGUUGUAAAGGACUUUCAGCGGGGAGGAAGGGAGUAAAGUUAAUACCUUUGCUCAUUGACGUUACCCGCAGAAGAAGCACCGGCGAACUCCGUGCCAGCAGCCGCGGUAAUACGGAGGGUGCAAGCGUUAAUCGGAAUUACUGGGCGUAAAGCGCACGCAGGCGGUUUGUUAAGUCAGAUGUGAAAUCCCCGGGCUCAACCUGGGAACUGCAUCUGAUACUGGCAAGCUUGAGUCUCGUAGAGGGGGGUAGAAUUCCAGGUGUAGCGGUGAAAUGCGUAGAGAUCUGGAGGAAUACCGGUGGCGAAGGCGGCCCCCUGGACGAAGACUGACGCUCAGGCGCGAAAGCGUGGGGAGCAAACAGGAUUAGAUACCCCCGUAGUC
This 464-nucleotide ribosomal RNA is filed under the name uncultured bacterium. RNAcentral describes it as "partial 16S ribosomal RNA". It matches the Rfam family "Bacterial small subunit ribosomal RNA", at positions 339 to 795 of the family's 1533-position model. The record is from RNAcentral.